Molecule: ribosomal RNA, 1199 nt
Filed under: Staphylococcus aureus
Lineage: Bacteria; Bacillati; Bacillota; Bacilli; Caryophanales; Staphylococcaceae
Description: partial 23S ribosomal RNA
Rfam family: Bacterial large subunit ribosomal RNA
Source: RNAcentral
GUAGUCAAGAUGAGAAUUCUAAGGUGAGCGAGCGAACUCUCGUUAAGGAACUCGGCAAAAUGACCCCGUAACUUCGGGAGAAGGGGUGCUCUUUAGGGUUAACGCCCAGAAGAGCCGCAGUGAAUAGGCCCAAGCGACUGUUUAUCAAAAACACAGGUCUCUGCUAAACCGUAAGGUGAUGUAUAGGGGCUGACGCCUGCCCGGUGCUGGAAGGUUAAGAGGAGUGGUUAGCUUCUGCGAAGCUACGAAUCGAAGCCCCAGUAAACGGCGGCCGUAACUAUAACGGUCCUAAGGUAGCGAAAUUCCUUGUCGGGUAAGUUCCGACCCGCACGAAAGGCGUAACGAUUUGGGCACUGUCUCAACGAGAGACUCGGUGAAAUCAUAGUACCUGUGAAGAUGCAGGUUACCCGCGACAGGACGGAAAGACCCCGUGGAGCUUUACUGUAGCCUGAUAUUGAAAUUCGGCACAGCUUGUACAGGAUAGGUAGGAGCCUUUGAAACGUGAGCGCUAGCUUACGUGGAGGCGCUGGUGGGAUACUACCCUAGCUGUGUUGGCUUUCUAACCCGCACCACUUAUCGUGGUGGGAGACAGUGUCAGGCGGGCAGUUUGACUGGGGCGGUCGCCUCCUAAAAGGUAACGGAGGCGCUCAAAGGUUCCCUCAGAAUGGUUGGAAAUCAUUCAUAGAGUGUAAAGGCAUAAGGGAGCUUGACUGCGAGACCUACAAGUCGAGCAGGGUCGAAAGACGGACUUAGUGAUCCGGUGGUUCCGCAUGGAAGGGCCAUCGCUCAACGGAUAAAAGCUACCCCGGGGAUAACAGGCUUAUCUCCCCCAAGAGUUCACAUCGACGGGGAGGUUUGGCACCUCGAUGUCGGCUCAUCGCAUCCUGGGGCUGUAGUCGGUCCCAAGGGUUGGGCUGUUCGCCCAUUAAAGCGGUACGCGAGCUGGGUUCAGAACGUCGUGAGACAGUUCGGUCCCUAUCCGUCGUGGGCGUAGGAAAUUUGAGAGGAGCUGUCCUUAGUACGAGAGGACCGGGAUGGACAUACCUCUGGUGUACCAGUUGUCGUGCCAACGGCAUAGCUGGGUAGCUAUGUGUGGACGGGAUAAGUGCUGAAAGCAUCUAAGCAUGAAGCCCCCCUCAAGAUGAGAUUUCCCAACUUCGGUUAUAAGAUCCCUCAAAGAUGAUGAGGUUAAUAGGUUC